Molecule: ribosomal RNA, 504 nt
Filed under: Adalia conglomerata
Lineage: Eukaryota; Metazoa; Arthropoda; Insecta; Coleoptera; Coccinellidae
Description: partial large subunit ribosomal RNA
Rfam family: Bacterial large subunit ribosomal RNA
Source: RNAcentral
UUUGAAAAUAAUUUAAAGUAGGGCCUGCCCACUGAGUAUUGAAGGGCCGCAGUAUUUUGACUGUGCAAAGGUAGCAUAAUCAUUAGUUUUUUAAUUGAAAGCUUGUAUGAAUGGUUUGAUGAGAAAAUAACUUUCUAUAAUUAAUUUUUUAAUAAUUUUAUUUUUAAGUUAAAAAGCUUAAAUAUUUUUAAUAGACGAGAAGACCCUAUAGAGUUUAAUUAUAAAUAAUUAUUAAUAAUUUUUAGAAUUUUGAAUUUAAAUAUUUAUUAUAAUUUGAUUGGGGUGAUUGAAAAAUUAAAGUAACUUUUUUUUUAUAAAACCAUUAAUUUAUGAAUAUAUGAUCCAUUUGAAUGAUUAAAAGAUUAAAUUACCUUAGGGAUAACAGCGUUAUUUUUUUUUAGAGUUCAAAUCGAAAAAAGAGAUUGCGACCUCGAUGUUGGAUUAAAGUAAAUAUUUGGUGUAGGAGCUAUAAUAUUUGGUCUGUUCGACCAUUAAAACUUUACA